CAGAGAGUAGUUUAGUGUAAAAUGCCAGCUUUGGGAGUUGGUGAUGARGGGGGAAGGGGGGGCCCUUUUA
RNAcentral lists this transfer RNA (70 nucleotides) under Zosterops poliogastrus (broad-ringed white-eye). RNAcentral describes it as "tRNA-Pro". Lineage: Eukaryota; Metazoa; Chordata; Aves; Passeriformes; Zosteropidae. The record is from RNAcentral.